Molecule: long non-coding RNA, 1004 nt
Filed under: Homo sapiens (human)
Lineage: Eukaryota; Metazoa; Chordata; Mammalia; Primates; Hominidae
Description: HSALNT0156122
Source: RNAcentral
GCGGAAGUUGCAGUGAGCCGAGAUUGCGCUACUGCAUUCCAGCCCGAGUGACAGAGCGAGACUCCAUCUUAACAACAACAACAAGACAAACGCACAAGAUUUGGGGACUCAGCCAGGCCGGGGUUUGGUUCUUGGUUCUGUCACUUGCUAGCUCAGUGGCUUUUGGCAAGUCAGUUUAUCUGCAGCUUCGUUGCUACCUCUACAUUAUGGAGAUGAAAGUGUCCACCUCCAAGUGUGGUUUUGAAGAUUCAAUGAGAUAAUGUGAAUAAAGUGUGUAGCGAAGUGUUUGGCACAAAGCUAAUAUUGAGUCAUUUAUUAUUACCACGGACAUUAAUAAUCAGAGGAAAAUAAGUUUUAAAGGUAAAACUUCUUUUGCGAGAAACCCUCAUGGACACAGGCAGCGGAGUGGCGAAGCGAUCCCUGAGGUCAGGUUCUGAGUUCAGAACCAGGGCAAAGCACAGAGCAAGCGGCACUCAAGUCUUCCCAGUGAAGAUGCUUUUGGUUGCAAGGAGCAGAAACUCUCUCACUGAGCUGGAGUCCUGAAUUCGUUAUGAUAUCAGGUGUCAGGGAAACCAGGCCAAGAGAUGCCACCAGCUUUCAUGAAGCACCAGUACAGAAAUAUGGACGCCAAUACCAUGACCCUCUCUUCCCAUCUCUUCCCUCUCCUUUCCUUCUACACCUGCUCUGUGCCCCAGGACCACAGUUGGUGACAGAUUCCCAGGAUGCUGGCUAGGAUCGGACCCAGGCGGCACUUCUGGAUUCCUAGUUUUUGCUGGAGAGGGGUCGACUGCCAGAUUAACAGGCUGUCUGGCAAAUGGCGGCCUUCGGCAGCACUUAGGUCCGAAAACACAAAGGUUGGCCUAAGAAAACCAUAAUUAACUACACACACACACACACACACACACACACACACACACACACACACACUCACUAGAAAUAAAAGACUAGUGUCUCUUUUAAUUGUCAUUUUUAUAGCUCCCCACCGCAGCUGCCCCCCACCCUUC